GACGAACGCUGGCGGCGUGCUUAACACAUGCAAGUCGAACGGAAAGGCCCUGCUUUUGUGGGGUGCUCGAGUGGCGAACGGGUGAGUAACACGUGAGUAACCUGCCCUUGACUUUGGGAUAACUUCAGGAAACUGGGGCUAAUACCGGAUAGGAGCUCCUGCUGCAUGGUGGGGGUUGGAAAGUUUCGGCGGUUGGGGAUGGACUCGCGGCUUAUCAGCUUGUUUGUGGGGUAGUGGCUUACCAAGGCUUUGACGGGUAGCCGGCCUGAGAGGGUGACCGGCCACAUUGGGACUGAGAUACGGCCCAGACUCCUACGGGAGGCAGCAGUGGGGAAUAUUGCACAAUGGGCGGAAGCCUGAUGCAGCAACGCCGCGUGCGGGAUGGCGGCCUUCGGGUUGUAAACCGCUUUCGCCUGUGACGAAGCGUGAGUGACGGUAAUGGGUAAAGAAGCACCGGCUAACUACGUG
RNAcentral lists this ribosomal RNA (468 nucleotides) under uncultured bacterium. RNAcentral describes it as "partial 16S ribosomal RNA". It matches the Rfam family "Bacterial small subunit ribosomal RNA", at positions 28 to 507 of the family's 1533-position model. The record is from RNAcentral.